RNAcentral lists this ribosomal RNA (465 nucleotides) under uncultured bacterium. Its description in RNAcentral is "partial 16S ribosomal RNA". It matches the Rfam family "Bacterial small subunit ribosomal RNA", at positions 29 to 507 of the family's 1533-position model. The record is from RNAcentral.
AAUGAACGUUGGCGGCGUGGAUUAGGCAUGCAAGUCGAGCGAGAACCCCGCAAGGGGGGACAGCGGCGAAAGGGACAGUAAUGUGUAGAUUAUCUGCCCUCAGGUCCGGGAUAGCUGCGGGAAACUGCAGGUAAUACCGGAUAACAUCUCCGGAUCAAAGGUGUGAUUCCGCCUGAGGAUGAGUCUGCAUCCUAUUAGCUAGUUGGUGGGGUAAUGGCCUACCAAGGCAUUGAUGGGUAGCAGGUGUGAGAGCACGACCUGCGUCAUUGGGACUGAGACACUGCCCAGACACCUACGGGUGGCUGCAGGCGAGAAUCUUCGGCAAUGGGCGCAAGCCUGACCGAGCGACGCCGCGUGUGGGAUGAAGGCCUUCGGGUUGUAAACCACUGUCAGAGGGGAUGAAAUGCAGGUGGGUUCUCCCAUCUGUUUGACAUAGCCUCAGAGGAAGGACGGGCUAAGUUCGUG